This 484-nucleotide ribosomal RNA is filed under the name uncultured bacterium. Its description in RNAcentral is "partial 16S ribosomal RNA". It matches the Rfam family "Bacterial small subunit ribosomal RNA", at positions 30 to 507 of the family's 1533-position model. The record is from RNAcentral.
AUUGAACGCUGGCGGCAGGCCUAACACAUGCAAGUCGAGCGGAUGAAGGGGGCUUGCUCCUGGAUUCAGCGGCGGACGGGUGAGUAAUGCCUAGGAAUCUGCCUGGUAGUGGGGGAUAACGUCCCGAAACGGGCGCUAAUACAGCAUACGUCCUGAGGUAGAAAGUGGGGGAUCUUCGGACCUCACGCCAUCAGAUGAGCCUAGGUCGGAUUAGCUAGUUGGUGGGGUAAAGGCCUACCAAGGAGACGAUCCGUAACUGGUCUGAUAGGAUGAUCAGUCACACUGGAACUGAGACACGGUCCAGACUCCUACGGGAGGCAGCAGUGGGGAAUAUUGGACAAUGGGCGAAAGCCUGAUCCAGCCAUGCCGCGUGUGUGAAGAAGGUCUUCGGAUUGUAAAGCACUUUAAGUUGGGAGGAAGGGCAGUAAGUUAAUACCUUGCUGUUUUGACGUUACCAACAGAAUAAGCACCGGCUAACUUCGUG